Long non-coding RNA from Columba livia (rock pigeon), 7364 nucleotides. RefSeq lists it as uncharacterized. The transcript is spliced from 4 exons. The record is from RefSeq and is a predicted model, not a curated record. Lineage: Eukaryota; Metazoa; Chordata; Aves; Columbiformes; Columbidae.
CCCAGUUUAUUUUACCCUGAUACUGAUGUCUCAUAGAGAAGUCAUGGUGGCAAAUCUUAGUGAAAGAGAAAGUAUUAAGUCAAAACAUCUGGAUGGGGUCUGUGACUCGCUAGUGGGAUUCAAAGAGAUUUUGCAAAAGAGAUGAGGAAAAACCCCGAAAUAAAAGUUAUCCUUAGGUAACUGUGCCAUGGCAAGAUUAUCGAAAUGUAAUAAUGUUAAUUGAUAUAAAUAAGCAUUGAUUAAAAUUUGAAAAUCUCUACUUGACAUGCAAUUAACACAAAUUACACAGGCAAUUAUAUGGGGAGUCAAAGUAUUUAGCAAUUUUAAAGCUAUUUACCCACAUGCUAGACUUCUCUCUGAAUAAUUAAGCCAAAUUAUUGUGGACUGUUUCAUUUAUAUUAACUUAAUAUUUGCUUGUUAAUCUAGUAACAAGUACAGUUGAGGUACCUCCAGCCCUAAAUGAAUGAAGGUUAAUGCUAAGGUGACGUUCUUUGUACCUUUAGGUUUCGGAGCCUCCGUGCAGCCUGUGUGUAGCUGUGGUGGAGUCACAUCGGCAGAGAGUUCUGGAAUAACACUUCAUUUACCCUCCACAACCACGUUGAAAGGUGAAACUUCACGGUACCACUGCGAAGAACAUUGUAGGUUGUCUUUAUGAAGAGCACAAUAGGGGAACAUCAUAGAAGAAACUGAAAGAAGUUAAGAGUAAGGAUCUACCCAAACACCUGCAGCAUUUUGGAAGAAAACUCAGUGAAUCAGUUCUACAGGAGUGAAUGAAGCAGGCAGCAGUACUGAUUUUUCUUGGAUCUGCAUUACCAGCCUACAGAGACCCUACUUGUCUUUUUUACUGUCACAAAAGGAACAUUUUAGUUCUGCUGCAGCAAGACAGAAGAGGCUGUGAUUGUCUCUAGGAGGAAUGACAGUUGUCCUCUUCUGAUGCAUUUAACAGGGACUAAAGCCCUAACCUGUGGUAGGAAAAUUGACGCCCUGUUUCAGCUGGAAGACCCCAGUACCUCCGUUUUAGAGACAUUAUUCUCAAGCCAAUGAGUAUUCACUACCAAACUACAGUGGACUUGUUCUUAACUCACAGACAGACAAGGAAGAGCAGAAUCAGGCCAAUCAUUUCCACUGUUUGUCUCAGCUGAGUCAGCUAUCAAGUACAGUCACAGGGUGGUUAUCAGUCCUUAGGACAGGGUGUUUAUUCCUUCACACACUGCUACCAGCCUCCAGACUUAAUGAGAUUUGAGAGACAAGAUUAAUCUCUCAGUUCCCAAUAACAGCAAAUUAAGAUUUGUAAUCAGUUAUUGGACUCAAACAUCAUCAUCUGGGCAUGCGGUUGCUCCUGUAGUUUCCUUGUAGGGGAGGAACACGAAGUGGGUCUUUUGGAGUGGGGGUUGAAUUGUUAGAGUUUUGGGUUUUUUUUCAAAGUGGGAGCAAAAUGAGUAAUCCAAGUGCAGAUGUCCUGAAUUUCCUAUUUAAGACAAAAUAAAAGUAAUGCUGCUACUAUAAAGCCACCCAGAGAUGGCUCUAGAGUAACGCUUUGAAAAAUCUGAUUAAAGAAAGACUCCCCAACUGACCAAAAAGCACUGAUUCAAACAAGGAGAUUAAAACAAAUUUAGAAAGCAGAACUAAAGUAUCUAUGAAGAAACCUUUUUUGACAACGAAGCCACCAGGAGUGAAAUCACCAGGCAGGGAGUGCUGACAAGCAGGUAUCAUUGCCAAAAGAAACAUCGUACCUACAGAAAUGUGGCCAAGGAUCCUGGAAAUGGAAAAUGCCCUUCUAACACUCACUACUUUUAUCUUCACAGUGUUGUUUGCUUAAUCAAAGGGAGGUGCUACCAUUAGCAGGAGGAAAAGACAAGCUGAUGAAUCCUCACCUCCUUGGAAUCAACAGCAUUUGCCCCCACUGACUUCAUCUGCAUCUGGUUUUCACCCUGCAGUAAUUAGACACAAGUAAUGAAACCUAAAGUGAGUUAGGCUCUUGAUUUCAACCCUUAUUUAACAGCAUCCUGGUAUUCUAUGUUCUGAAUACAAAUUGAGAAGAUAAACCAAGCCACUUUAAAAUGCAUCCUUCUGCUUUGUCAAGAACCAAAAGGUAAGUCUCCCAGAGUUAUAUUGUCACUUACUGUUAUUCCAACAUGCUCAUCAACAUCUUCUGAAGUUUAGGUCUCCUUGUUUGCUGAGUCUCCCAUGUCACUGGGCAGCAGCUCUGGAGGGUCCUGUGCCCAGAAACGGGGCUGUUCCUGGGCCAGGCAGCGGGUGCUCACAGCACGAACAGUGCAAAGUGCUGAUCCCCAUCUCCUCUAGCAAAAGGCCAUCAGCUGUGUGAAGAGGUCCUCUAGAUUGAUUCAGUCUGCCAGUUGGCUGCAAAGCGGGCAAAACAGACACUUCAAUUAGUAGAUAUGUCCUAGAUGAAUGCAACAUCAUCGGAGCAUGCCAUAUAAUGCCUCCAAGCACUACAGGUAAGGCAAGAAAAGAUUAAAAAACUGAGAUGUUUUCAGUUCCGUAGAUUUUGGACUUACAGAGACUUGAAAACCAAACAGAAAUAAAGGUCCAGAAACAGGCAGCAAUACCGUCACACAACAGAAGACAAAGCAAUAAUUCAGAAGAGUCUCAAACAUGGGCACCCAUCUCCACUUUGGACAGCCUGGCGUGUUUGAGAUCUCUACCCAGAACUGGCAGAUGUGUUCUAAAACCUAGUGAGAUGUCUAAUGCAACAGCAGGAGGCAAGAUAAGAUUCUUCAUAGCAUCUAACACAGCACCUAAGUUUCUCCCCUACUGUACAAAUUAGGAACUUAAUUUUGAAAAGGUCGUUACUGUUAUCAGAAUAGUCAAAUUAUCUUUUACCAUUAAGGAGACAUCUCUGCAGUCGGCUAAGUACAUUCCUUUUCAUCAGUGGCCAAGAAGUAAUAUUUUCCACUUAUGAUAUUUCUCUCACAAGUUUUCCAGCUCCAGAGUCUCACCUCAUUUCAGAAAAGAGUACAGAUUCACAGACCACUUGGUGUCAAAGUGUUGCUAAGACCUAUCACAUCUACAAAUACUACAGCAAGAGGCAAAAGAGAGCAUCAGCAGAGCAACCUGGAAGAGGUCCUAACAACAGAGCCCUUAGGUGUAAAGCACCUGACUCCCAGAAGGCGGCACAUGGGCAUCUUUCUGCCUCUGUCUAAAUAACACCUGAAAAGCGCAUGCCAACACCCUUGUGCUCCUGCAUGCACUGCACAGCGCUGCUAAUUAGGUUAGCAUCAGUUUUUCUUCUGAGGGCGGAAUAGGGGGUGGGAAACUGUAGGCAAAGUACAGAGGGGAGAAACAAAUCUUAAGAUUUGAAAGAACAGCAAAAGAGAAGGAAGAAGAAAAGAAUGAGCCAGUAAAGAAAAAUAAUCUGAUAACACAAAACUGCAACAAGGAAAAAUAAUGACUGUUGUAUGGCUACAACACUGCCUAUGGAGUUGCACCUUUUCUUUGGUAUCUGUGUCACCUGAUGUUCCAGCUGAGCUACAACUUAUUUAGAGGUGUAGAACAGCUAAAAAGCAGAUGUAGAAUGAGCCAAUAACAAGAGACCACUGUGAACUAAAACAAAGCUUGUGGAGACUUACAACAGAAUUUAUCUUGGUUUUAGCACGCACAACCUAGAGGCAGAAGUGCAUCCUUGACUCAACCACUGACCGUUGCAUGAUGUUGAGUAGAUCUUCCAAGGCUUGUUGCUGAGUGUUGGCUUCGAGAGCACUGGCUGAUAGUUAAAGCAGCAAAAUCAAACAGCCUGGAGUUAAUUUCUCUGUUCUUGUUCAACAAGGCACGUGUCCUAUUUGAUGACCACCCACAGGGAUUAGAGAGCAUGCUGUAGAAAUCCACUGCUAGGAGAAGAUACCUUAUUUCCCCCAAAACAAGACAGGGUCUUAUAUUAAUUUUUGCUCCAAAAGAUGUCUUUUUUCACAUGUAUAUCUGCUGAACACUAUUAAAAUUGACUUUUUAAAUGAACUGUAACUAGGGCCUAUUUUUGGAGUAGGGCUUAUAUUUUCAACAUCCUCAAAAAUCAUGCUAGGGCUUAUUUUCAGGGUAGGUCUUAUUUUCAGGGAAACAGGGUACACUAUGAUAAGCUGAGGAAAAAUCCGUUCCAGCUGACUGCUGACUUUCUUGUGCUCCUUCUGUACUUAGUCUUCACCACACAUUACUCAGAAGUAGUAGCCUAGAACCAAUGAACUAAUGAGAACUAGUUUCAAUCCUCCUGAGAUAUAUCCCGUCCCUCAGUGUUCUUUGAAAACAAGGACUAUGUCACAUUGCUUUUCAGCAACUAUCUCAGGCAGAGCCACACCACACCAUGCUCCAAGCACACCUCCCAUCUAUACCUGAGUCUCAAAUGUUACCCACAUAACAUAAAUAUCCAUAAGCGCUCACAGUGACUGACAUGACAUUCUUAGUCUCUCAGUACUGUGCUAAUCCUAUCCCAAGCUAGUGGAUGCGCUAAUAAAUAUAGGCCCUUCCACAUACCUUACAGCAUCUGCGCCCAUCCUUCCAGGUCCACAUCCUGCUGGUCUGCAAGUAUUCCCUAAAAGACAAAAACAAGUAUCCAUGUACUCAGUGAUUACAAUACUGCUCAAUUCAGGAUGAUGUGGAAUAUCUUGUCCUUUUACUGACUGAUUUGCUGGUAUUAGUAGCAAAUAAUUUCAUUUCUAAGGGAUUCAGAUGCUAGGUCAUAGCUUCUAUUUGGCAAACAGUGAAUCAUGGACAUUUCCUCCUGCAAAACCUUCUGUAUGAUAAUUUUCUCCUUCAUCUACUUUAUGUGAAAUGUAGAUAAAACACCACCAUUGUAGGAAAAUAUACGAGUUUAAUGUCAAUAUUGAUUGUUGAGGAGAUCAUCUUUAGCUCACCGGUUGGGAGAUGGUAAUAUAUAAACUUACUAUGCGCAAUUGACUUGCUUAACAACAUGAUGUGUGGCUAAUGAAAACAAAUGUCAGCUCCUUGCCACAAAGCAUAAAGUAAUACACACACAUUUCCAGCUGAGCACUCCACUACCAAUGCAUUAAACGGCUUUUUCAACUGAAAUGAUGUAUCAAGCAAUUGAAUAAUAGCAGCAGGCAGCUAUGAACACCACCAAGAGUGGCUCCACUACUUGAACAAUGCAUGAAAGAUGCUGGAUUUUCUGAGCUGAAACCAAACCUUCUCUCUAGUACACAGAAGGUUUGGGGACCCUGUAAUUCCUGGAGUCAAUGAAGAACAUUAAGAACAUUGUACCAUGUACUCUGCAUCUCGCAGGACUGUAUGAUUUAUUCAUGGGAGAAAAUUGAUUAUGCCUUUUUAAGUGUAAAGCGAAUCAAAGAUUUGACUCUACAAGGGUAACUCUUCAAAUGGUGCAAUCCAAAGGACCUGUUAGGGCUUCAUUUGCUUGAUUCAUGCAAACAAUCCUUGAAGGCAUUUUAGGCAAAGUGAGCAGCUUGGCUUAAAAUAAAAGCCAUUUCAUCUGAGGAUACAUAACGAUAAUGACUCCCUUAGUCAAGAUUUUUUUGAUUUCCGAUAAUAUAACACUUCAAUACAUCAGACCCUUGGCAGCAGUUUUGAUUUUCUAAUUGGAAAUUCAGCCAGCGUAUGCUUGUGUGUGUAGGCUCAGGGCAUAUAUAUUAAACCCCCAAAUUUUCAUUGGUAUUGUAGACUGUCAUUACCACCCCUGUGGGUGUUUAAAAUAAAGCAUGAUGCAGUUCUUUGUAAUUCAUCUUUACACAGGUCAGCAACUGAGGGUCAGCUUCACACACAGAGCUCAAGGACCUGGACGCGGCUUUAACAAGUAGAUGUCACUGCUAUAUUUUGAAUAUAUCACAUGAAACCAUCAAUAUAUGCCACACUGGGAGAGCUAGCAACACUAAUUUUGUUGAGUAGAUAAUAAGCAAGAACAAAAGUAACUUCAGAGCAGGAAAUCAGAGGGGUUUUUUUUCUUCAAACCACUGAAAUCGUUUAAUACAUUGAAAUGCCUGAUGAUUCACUGAACACUCUGAUUUGAAAGGCAGAAAGUCUAAGAGAUUUAAAAUACUGUUCUUUCUGAGGAGUAAUUACUUGUGAUUUAAUCAGCUAUGCAUUUAAAAAAAAAAAGUAGAAGCUCUUUUACGUAGGAGAGCAAAAUGACUCACUAAAUGAACCUUCACCAUAGGGAGAAGAAAUCCGUAUUACCAUCAGAUUAGUGAACGUGCUUCAAAGAAAUAUGCAAUGAGACCUGACAGUGAGGAUUGGAGGGACAGAAAGUCACCUAAGAUCUUUCUGCAACCUUCAGCCAAAAGAAGAUGUAAGGCUUGAUUUUGCUGUUGUAUAUGAUGGGUAUCUUGAAGUUCCUUGGCGAUAAGAAGACAAGCAUAGUAGAAACAUGUAUGUCCUUAUAUUGGCCUCUCUAUUUUAUCCCCCUAGUGCCACCUCUCAGCUUUCACAGUAGUCACCAACUGACAUCAAACUCAAUUGACAAUUAAGUAAUGUGACUGGAGAAGAAAUCGUUUGGGCAAAAAUUAGCUGUAACACCAAGAUGCAUGUGUGUAACUUUUUUUUUAUCCAAAGAUACCCAGACUUCGUGCUGUUUUGAUGCCUUUCUCUGUGAUUGGAAGCCCAGAAGAUACUUCAGUACAAAUAGUACAUGAAUAAUAAUGUCUGUAUUUAAAUAUGUAAAAGGCCUGAAUGUCAGGUACUCUUGAGUAUGCCAGCUAAAGCUUCUUUUUAAGAUUUUAAUCUCAUUUCCCAGAAUGACCCAACAACUAAAUGUUUCAAUGGGUUUCAGUGAUUUUAUGGGAUAAUGCAAUAACAAGAUUUAUGGCUGCAUAAAGCAACAUCUUAUUAAAAACUUGCUUUACUAACUAAACUGAAAUGUUAUGAUAAAAUAAUUUUGUCUGGAAGAAAAUACAAUUUUAAGAGCUAACAACCACUAAACAGCCACCUGAUAUUUGUAUUUACUGUGGUUUGUAUUUCAGAUAGAAGUCCUAUCUUUCUUCAAGAACCUAGAAAGAUGAUUAUACAUUCCCAGAGCAUUUGCAAGCAUCUGUUCCAGAUCCACAUGCACUUGAUUCAGCUGUGUGCACAAAUAGCAUGAGUUUGAUAACAAACGAUCAGAGCUGGUAAUUAGCACAGACAGCUCCCUAAUUUGCACGGGAAGUCAAAGCAGUUGUUUAAGCAAAGAAAAUACCUUUUUGCAUGCACUGAUCACAGCUGGAAUUAUUUGCCAGUGGGAAUCCGAUUUAUCUGAGGAAAUACUGUACGUUUCUUAACAUCCUAGAAAUGAAACAAAUGGAAUAGUUUCUUCUUCAGUUCUCAGAAUAAAUCAGUUUUCCCUUUCAGAAUGCUUUGAAGAUUGUUUUUUCUUUGCAGAAUAAAACGCAAUGUUAUACCAACCGUCUCAGUAG